UUUAUAUUGGUGCGGGAAGCAGCAGUGAGGAAUUUUUCACAAUGGACGAAAGUCUGAUGGAGCAAUACCACGUGAACGAUGAAGGUCUUCUGAUUGUAAAGUUCUUUUAUUUAGGAAAAAAAGCGCGCUAGGAAAUGAGCGCGCCUUGAUGGUACUAAUUGAAUAAGUGACAGCUAACUAUGUGCCAGC
Molecule: ribosomal RNA, 189 nt
Filed under: uncultured Mycoplasma sp.
Lineage: Bacteria; Bacillati; Mycoplasmatota; Mollicutes; Mycoplasmatales; Mycoplasmataceae
Description: partial 16S ribosomal RNA
Rfam family: Bacterial small subunit ribosomal RNA
Source: RNAcentral